RNAcentral lists this ribosomal RNA (69 nucleotides) under Lecanosticta acicola. Its description in RNAcentral is "partial 18S ribosomal RNA". It matches the Rfam family "Eukaryotic small subunit ribosomal RNA", at positions 1764 to 1831 of the family's 1831-position model. The record is from RNAcentral. Lineage: Eukaryota; Fungi; Ascomycota; Dothideomycetes; Mycosphaerellales; Mycosphaerellaceae.
CUUGGUCAUUUAGAGGAAGUAAAAGUCGUACCAAGGUCUCCGUAGGUGAACCUGCGGAAGGGAUCAUUA